GCGGGAGUAGUUCAAUUGGUUAGAGCGCCGCCCUGUCACGGCGGAAGUUGCGGGUUCGAGCCCCGUCUCCCGCG
This 74-nucleotide transfer RNA is filed under the name Chlamydiae bacterium RIFCSPHIGHO2_12_FULL_49_9. RNAcentral's name for it is "tRNA-Asp". It matches the Rfam family "tRNA". From Rfam's summary of the family: Transfer RNA (tRNA) molecules are approximately 80 nucleotides in length. Their secondary structure includes four short double-helical elements and three loops (D, anti-codon, and T loops). The record is from RNAcentral. RNAcentral also lists the same sequence under 7 other names. Lineage: Bacteria; Pseudomonadati; Chlamydiota.